Long non-coding RNA from Equus caballus (horse), 2122 nucleotides. The record is from Ensembl. Lineage: Eukaryota; Metazoa; Chordata; Mammalia; Perissodactyla; Equidae.
GGGUGUCCCUUCACCACGGGUACCGGCACUCACGCGUUCACAGACAUACUCCAGCACCUGCUGUGUGUGUACGGGGCGCUCACAGACGUGCUCCGGCAUCUGCCGUGUGUGUACAGGCCACUCACGUGCUCACAGACGUGCUCUGGCACCUGCCGUGUGUGUACGGGCCACGCAUGCGCUCACAGACACUCUCCAGCACCUGCCGUGUGUGUACAGGGUGCUCGCACACUCACAGACGCACUCCAGCACCUGCUGUGUGUGUACAGGGCGCUCACACCCUCACAGACAAUCUCCAGCACCUGCUGUGUGUGUCCGGGGCGCUCACAGACAUGCUCCGGCAUCUGCCAUGUGUGUCCAGGGGAUUCACGUGCUCACAGACAUGCUCCGGCACCUGCCAUGUGUGUACAGGGCACUCAUGCGCUCACAGACACGCUCCAGCACCUGCCCUGUGUGUACAGGGUGCUCGCACACUCACAGACACAUUCCAGCACCUGCUGUGUGUGUACAGGGGCGCUCACAGACAUGCUCCAGCACCUGCCGUGUGUGUACAGGGCACUCACGUGCUCACAGACAUGCUCCGGCACCUGUCAUGUAUGUACAGGGCGCUCACAUGCUCACAGACGCACUCCAGCACCUGCCGUGUGUGUACAGGGCGCUCACAUGCUCACAGACGUGCUCUGGCACCUGCUGUGUGUGUACGGGGUGCUCAGACAUGUUCAAGCGCCUGUCGUAUGUGUAUAGGGCGCUCACACCCUCACAGACGCACUCCAGCACCUGCCGUGUGUGUACAGGGCGCUCACAUGCUCACAGGCGCACUCUGGCACGUGCCAUAUGUGUACAGGGUGCUCACGUGCUCACAGACACGCUCCAGCACCUGCUGUGUGUGUACGGGGAGCUCACGCACUCACAGACACGCUCCAGCCCCUGCCGUGUGUGUACAGGAACACAUGCAGGCCACAGGGGCAGCCAACUGAACACACUGCCUGGCCUGAGCUCAGGGAGCCUGGAGCUUCGGAGCAGGCCGGAGGGCAGAGGACAGCAUCAUCCUGAAGGUUAGGUUCUGGUACCUUGGAGGUUCCCGUCACGUCCUUGACUCAACUCAGAACCGCAGGAGGAGGUGGGGCUGGGGACGAUUGAUUAGUGUCAGGCAUAUGAGUCUGAGGCACCCGACAGAGUGUGGGCGUGAUGGUGUCGGGAUCGGAGGACAGAGCCCAGGGUGCCAGAGGAAGCCCCGUCCACCUGGGAGUGACGGUCGCAUCCUCGAGGUGAAAGAGAAGGCCGCGGAGAGCCUGCGCUGCUGGAGCGGGAGGAUGCCCUGACGUUCGCGUGUCUGGUGCGGCGCUUGGAGUCUGUAUGUUUUGAAGAGGCUGAGAGUUAACGGCAUGGCGCUCGCAGAUCUUUCGAGGCGUGACCGGGCCGGCUGCUGCGGGAGUGAGCCCCCUGGCUCGGCGUGAAUCUACCAAGUUGCCCGGCAUCCUGAGUUUUUCUUCCUCAUCGUGGUAGAGGCGGUAAUUCUCAUUUAGGUGAUUUACUUCUUUGUAGAAAAUGGUCAUCAAGUGAGAGUUACGCUUUAGCAAAAGUUAUCGAAGCGCUUACCUGGUGGCAGUGACUGAAACACAGGAGACGGGCCCCUGCCUCCAACACGACUCAGGAGGAAGCUCCGAACCUCUGCAGGUGUUCCGGCAUUUGCCAAGUUAGGACAUCCUGAAGGUUUAGGGUAUCUUGCGGCUGUCCCUGCCUAGCCCACUCCUAGAAACUAGAGGAGAAAUCAGCGAGGACAGAGAGGCAGAGCCAGAAGCUUCCCCUGACGCCGAACCCGCUGGAAGGUGGAGUUUCGAGGAGGAGAGUGUGCGCUUCAGAGAGCGAGGUGCAGAGGAGGACCAGUGCAGGGAACAGGCACUUGCUUUCUGCUUCAGGUCCUCGCUGGUGGAAGGCUCGUGUCGUUAGAGCGCUGCAGGCGGACCCGCUGCUCGGGAUUGCAGGCGUGUGUGCGAGGAGGCUCUCACAGGCACGUGGGUGAAGAGGAAGUGGACACGCGUGUGUGACUCUUGUGGAAGUCGAGUCCUGAAGGGAAGGGAGCCGGUGUAGGAGCUUGAGGGGGUGGCAGAGCUGGGGGCAGUUU